Acanthosepion pharaonis is the source of this 97-nucleotide non-coding RNA. Lineage: Eukaryota; Metazoa; Mollusca; Cephalopoda; Sepiida; Sepiidae. The record is from the annotation of a GenBank genome assembly.
UGGAACACCGGUCCCCAUAAGAUCACCAAAGUUAAGCAACGUCGAUCCUGGUCAGUACAUAGAUGGGUGACCGCUUGGGAAUACCAGGUGUUGCAAG